UGGAGGUGAGAAACGAAAAGUAUGGAUAACAUGUUGUUAUUAUCACCAGGUAGUAAGGGAAUAGGAGUGGGGCAUUAGUUAGAGGUCAUUUUGUGGUAUCAUUUUAGAUUGUUUUUUUGAGAUUUUCAUUUCUUAUAUUCUUUGCAUACUUGAGAGUAGUAAUUCCAAUUAAGAGCUUGCUAGAGGGAGCGUUAUGGUGAUUAAAAGUGUAAAAUGAGCUAUAAUUAA
This 228-nucleotide long non-coding RNA is filed under the name Physcomitrium patens. Its description in RNAcentral is "long non-coding RNA (PPAT_LNC004182)". The record is from RNAcentral. Lineage: Eukaryota; Viridiplantae; Streptophyta; Bryopsida; Funariales; Funariaceae.